Molecule: long non-coding RNA, 643 nt
Organism: Drosophila gunungcola (fruit fly)
Lineage: Eukaryota; Metazoa; Arthropoda; Insecta; Diptera; Drosophilidae
Exons: 3
Source: RefSeq, a predicted model, not a curated record
AUCGAGUUGACGUCCUCAUCGUCUCGGGCGCAUUAAUUAAGACUGCGAGCAAGACGCCAAAAGACUUUUUAAAAAUAUGUAUAUAUUAUGGAGAGGAAAAUAAUACAAAUGUGUUGAGAGUUGGCAGCCCCAAAAAAGAAACGUGACUCAGGUGCCAUAAAAAAGGGGGCUUCCAAUCAAAUCCCGCAUUCGAAAUGCCUGGACGUACGCGAUCACAUCCAUAGAUGAUGUGUGCCUGAUAAGUGCCAGUUCUCUGAGGCUGUUGGACUGGAACUGGGAUCGGUAGAUGGGGGGCGCCAAAAUGAUGUUAAUCCUCCACCCCUUCUUGCAUUCACACAUCAAAAUGAGUUUUGAGAUAUCUUCGACUCGUAUCUUUCCACAUAAAAGAUUUCUUUUCAUUUAACGCCACAUAAUUUGUGAAAUGUUAUGUGCCGCGAUUGAAAUCUCAUUAAGUGAAUAACUUCUGGAUAUCACAAGGACAUACGACUUAAAGCAGGGGAGGCAAUAAUCUCGGAACUCAUUUGUUUUUGUAACUGAUCUAUGCUUAUGUGUUUGGCAGGCUCAUAAAUACCACAUUUCACAAAUUUCUUUUUACGUCAAUAUUCCUUUCUGAUAAGACUGAGUAAGCCAACAAACAAUUUUA